UUAUCCAUUGAAUGUCACCCUGCAUCACAUUUUCAGGCUGCAAGAAUUGCAAAUGGCUUGGAAGUAUAGUAAGAACUCAACUCUAUCAUAACUCAAUUUAGAACUGUAUUUCUGUCAAGAUUUUAUAUACAGAUAGUGCUGGUGGUCAUUCACAUCCUAGGCACUUUACACUGUAAAAUUGAUUAACCAAUGGAUCAUCUUUAACCAAUGUAUGUAUAUAUAGAUUGAAUAUUUCAUUUCCAUCUCUUGGAAUUCUUCAGCCCUUUCGACUUUUGUUUAGCAGCUUGAAACGCCUUCAUUUUCUGCUUCUUUCGAGCUUCCUUCUCAGCCUGUUAAACCAAGGGAUAUAGAAAGGUUGCGAUUAUGUAUGUAAACCAUGUGACCAUAACCUAUCCAGUUUAGAAAGCUAGGAAUCACAAGGGUAAUGCUUACUUUGGACAUCUUGGAUUUGGCUUUCACUUUAGGAGCUUUCUCUUCAAGAUCUGCCUCACGCUCAAGCUACUUUGCCCUUGCCUCAAGGUUCUUCUCCAGAUAAUA
RNAcentral lists this long non-coding RNA (537 nucleotides) under Durio zibethinus. Its description in RNAcentral is "long non-coding RNA (DZIB_LNC002182)". The record is from RNAcentral. Lineage: Eukaryota; Viridiplantae; Streptophyta; Magnoliopsida; Malvales; Malvaceae.